RNAcentral lists this ribosomal RNA (420 nucleotides) under uncultured Fluviicola sp. Its description in RNAcentral is "bacterial SSU rRNA". It matches the Rfam family "Bacterial small subunit ribosomal RNA", at positions 356 to 774 of the family's 1533-position model. The record is from RNAcentral. Lineage: Bacteria; Pseudomonadati; Bacteroidota; Flavobacteriia; Flavobacteriales; Crocinitomicaceae.
GAGGAAUAUUGGUCAAUGGGCGCAAGCCUGAACCAGCCAUGCCGCGUGCAGGAAGACGGUCCUAUGGAUUGUAAAUUGCUUGUAUUUGGGAAUAAACCUAUUUACGUGUAGAUAGCUGAAGGUACCAAAUGAAUAAGCACCGGCUAACUCCGUGCCAGCAGCCGCGGUAAUACGGAGGGUGCAAGCGUUAUCCGGAAUCAUUGGGUUUAAAGGGUCCGCAGGCGGAUUUAUAAGUCAGUGGUGAAAGCCUACAGCUCAACUGUAGAACUGCCAUGGUAAUGUAAGUGUUUACUUCGGUCGAAGUGUGAGGAAUAUGACAUGUAGCGGGGAGAUGCUUAGAUAUGUCAUAGAACACCGAUAGAGAAGGCAGCUCACUAGGCCUGGAUUGACGCUCAGGGACGAAAGCGUGGAGAGCAAACA